GGAGGGAUGGCCGAGUGGUUGAAGGCGGCGGUCUUGAAAACCGUUGACCCCGAGAGGGGUCCGGGGGUUCAAAUCCCUCUCCCUCCGCCA
Molecule: transfer RNA, 90 nt
Filed under: Desulfonatronum thiosulfatophilum
Lineage: Bacteria; Pseudomonadati; Thermodesulfobacteriota; Desulfovibrionia; Desulfovibrionales; Desulfonatronaceae
Also listed under: 1 other name
Description: tRNA_Ser_TGA
Rfam family: tRNA
About the family: Transfer RNA (tRNA) molecules are approximately 80 nucleotides in length. Their secondary structure includes four short double-helical elements and three loops (D, anti-codon, and T loops).
Source: RNAcentral